This 233-nucleotide ribosomal RNA is filed under the name uncultured bacterium. RNAcentral's name for it is "partial 16S ribosomal RNA". It matches the Rfam family "Bacterial small subunit ribosomal RNA", at positions 118 to 351 of the family's 1533-position model. The record is from RNAcentral.
UGAGUAACCUGCCCUGGACUUUGGGAUAACCCUCGGAAACGGGGGCUAAUACCGGAUAUGACACGCUCUCGCAUGGGAUGUGUGUGGAAAGUUUUUUCGGCUGGGGAUGGGCCCGCGGCCUAUCAGCUUGUUGGUGGGGUGAUGGCCUACCAAGGCGACGACGGGUAGCCGGCCUGAGAGGGCGUCCGGCCACACUGGGACUGAGACACGGCCCAGACUCCUACGGGAGGCAG